Molecule: ribosomal RNA, 483 nt
Filed under: uncultured bacterium
Lineage: Bacteria
Description: bacterial SSU rRNA
Rfam family: Bacterial small subunit ribosomal RNA
Source: RNAcentral
CAGGACGAACGCUGGCGGCGUGCUUAACACAUGCAAGUCGAACGAUGACGAUGGUGCUUGCACCGUCUGAUUAGUGGCGAACGGGUGAGUAACACGUGAGUAACCUGCCCUCCUCUUCGGGAUAACCGCCGGAAACGGUGGCUAAUACCGGAUAUGAAUGCCUGCCGCAUGGUGGGUGUUGGAAAGAUUUAUCGGUGGGGGAUGGACUCGCGGCCUAUCAGUUUGUUGGUGAGGUAAUGGCUCACCAAGGCGAUGACGGGUAGCCGGCCUGAGAGGGCGACCGGCCACACUGGGACUGAGACACGGCCCAGACUCCUACGGGAGGCAGCAGUGGGGAAUAUUGCACAAUGGGCGAAAGCCUGAAUGCAGCGACGCCGCGUGGGGGAUGACGGCCUUCGGGUUGUAAACCUCUUUCAGUAGGGAAGAAGCGAGAGUGACGGUACCUGCAGAAGAAGCGCCGGCUAACUACGUGCCAGCCGCCGC